AUUGAACGCUGGCGGAAUGCUUUACACAUGCAAGUCGAACGGCAGCACGGACUUCGGUCUGGUGGCGAGUGGCGAACGGGUGAGUAAUACAUCGGAACGUGCCCAGUCGUGGGGGAUAACGUAGCGAAAGCUACGCUAAUACCGCAUACGAUCUAAGGAUGAAAGCGGGGGAUCGCAAGACCUCGCGCGAUUGGAGCGGCCGAUGGCAGAUGAGGUAGCUGGUAAGGUGAAGGACCACCAAGCCGACGAUCUGGAGCUGGUCUGAGAGGAUGAUCAGGUACACUGCGACCGAGACACGGCCCAGACUCCUACGGGAGGCAGCAGUGGUGAAUUUUGGACAAUGCGCGCAAGCCUGAUCCAGCCAUUCCGCGUGCAGGAUGAAGGCCUUCUGGUUGUAAACUGCUUUUGUACAGAAUGAAAAGGCUCUGGUUAAUACCCGGGGCUCAUGACGGUACUGUAAGAAUAAGCACCGGCUAACUACGUGCCAGCCGCCGCGGUAA
Molecule: ribosomal RNA, 500 nt
Filed under: uncultured bacterium
Lineage: Bacteria
Description: partial 16S ribosomal RNA
Rfam family: Bacterial small subunit ribosomal RNA
Source: RNAcentral